AAGGAUCAUUACCGAGUGCGGGCCCUCUGGGUCCAACCUCCCAUCCGUGUCUAUCUGUACCCUGUUGCUUCGGCGUGGCCACGGCCCGCCGGAGACUAACAUUUGAACGCUGUCUGAAGUUUGCAGUCUGAGUUUUUAGUUAAACAAUCGUUAAAACUUUCAACAACGGAUCUCUUGGUUCCGGCAUCGAUGAAGAACGCAGCGAAAUGCGAUAAUUAAUGUGAAUUGCAGAAUUCAGUGAAUCAUCGAGUCUUUGAACGCACAUUGCGCCCCCUGGUAUUCCGGGGGGCAUGCCUGUCCGAGCGUCAUUGCUGCCCUCAAGCACGGCUUGUGUGUUGGGCUUCCGUCCCUGGCAACGGGGACGGGCCCAAAAGGCAGUGGCGGCACCAUGUCUGGUCCUCGAGCGUAUGGGGCUUUGUCACCCCCUCCCGUAGGUCCAGCUGGCAGCUAGCCUCGCAACCAAUCUUUUUAACCAGGUGACCUCGGAUCAGGUAGGGAUACCCGCUGAACUUAAGCAUAUCAAUAAGCGGAGGAA
RNAcentral lists this unclassified non-coding RNA (535 nucleotides) under Aspergillus chevalieri. RNAcentral describes it as "sequence contains ITS1, 5.8S rRNA gene, ITS2". The stretch from base 155 to 308 matches the Rfam family "5.8S ribosomal RNA". Lineage: Eukaryota; Fungi; Ascomycota; Eurotiomycetes; Eurotiales; Aspergillaceae. The record is from RNAcentral.